UCCCUGGUGGCUCAGACGGUAAAGCAUCUGCCUGCAAUGCGGGAGACCCAGGUUCGAUCCCUGGGUUGGGAA
Molecule: transfer RNA, 72 nt
Filed under: Bos taurus (domestic cattle)
Lineage: Eukaryota; Metazoa; Chordata; Mammalia; Artiodactyla; Bovidae
Also listed under: 4 other names
Rfam family: tRNA
About the family: Transfer RNA (tRNA) molecules are approximately 80 nucleotides in length.
Source: Rfam by way of RNAcentral